Molecule: ribosomal RNA, 429 nt
Filed under: bacterium
Lineage: Bacteria
Description: partial 16S ribosomal RNA
Rfam family: Bacterial small subunit ribosomal RNA
Source: RNAcentral
UAGGGAAUCUUCGGCAAUGGGGGCAACCCUGACCGAGCAACGCCGCGUGAGUGAAGAAGGUUUUCGGAUCGUAAAGCUCUGUUGUAGGUCAAGAACGGGUGUGAGAGUGGAAAGUUCACACUGUGACGGUAGCUUACCAGAAAGGGACGGCUAACUACGUGCCAGCAGCCGAGGUAAUACGUAGGUCCCGAGCGUUGUCCGGAUUUAUUGGGCGUAAAGCGAGCGCAGGCGGUUUGAUAAGUAUGAAGUUAAAGGCUGUGGCUCAACAAUAGUGCGCUGUGGAAACUGUCAAAAGUGAGUGCAGAAGGGGAGAGUGGAAUUACAUGUGUAGCGGUGAAAUGCGUAGAUGUAUGGAGGAACAACGGUGGCGAAAGAGGCUAUCUGGUCGGUAACUGACGCUGAGGAGCGAAAGAGUGGGGAGCGAACAGG